AGCUAAUAGAUACCCUGGUAGUCCUGGCCCUAAACGAUGGGAACUAGGUAGUGGGCUUGCAUGGGCUCACUGCCGAAAGCCAAAGUCUUAAGUUCCCCGCCUGGGGGAGUAUGGUCGCAAGGCUGAAAACUCAAAGGAAUUGACGGGGGGCUCACACAAGCGGUGGAGCAUGUGGCUUAAUUCGAGGCUACGCGAAGAACCUUAUCCUGGGCUUGACAUGUGCGAAAGCGCUCGGAAGUAGAAAGCGGAAACGCCGACGAACAGUAUCCAGUCCGGAACCGAGCACAGGUGCUGCAUGGCUGUCGUCAGCUCGUGUCGUGAGAUGUCGGGUUAAGUCCCAUAACGAGCGAAACCCUUGUCUCCAGUUGCUACAGGUAAUGCUGAGGACUCUGGAGAGACUGCCGGCGUCAAG
Molecule: ribosomal RNA, 412 nt
Filed under: uncultured bacterium
Lineage: Bacteria
Description: bacterial SSU rRNA
Rfam family: Bacterial small subunit ribosomal RNA
Source: RNAcentral